This 305-nucleotide ribosomal RNA is filed under the name uncultured bacterium. RNAcentral's name for it is "bacterial SSU rRNA". It matches the Rfam family "Bacterial small subunit ribosomal RNA", at positions 337 to 635 of the family's 1533-position model. The record is from RNAcentral.
UCCUACGGGGGGCAGCAGUAGGGAAUUUUCGUCAAUGGGCGCAAGCCUGAACGAGCAAUGCCGCGUGAACGAGGAAGGUCUUCGGAUCGUAAAGUUCUGUUGAAGGGGAAAAAGAGCGGAGAGAGGAAAUGGUCUCCGAUUGAUAUUACCCUUCGAGGAAGUCACGGCUAACUACGUGCCAGCAGCCGCGGUAAUACGUAGGUGGCGAGCGUUAUCCGGAAUGAUUGGGCGUAAAGGGUGCGUAGGCGGCCUGCUAAGUCUGGAGUGAAAGGUACAGGCUCAACCGGUACAGGCUCUGGAAACUG